GAGCACACACAUGUGGGCCCUGGUGUAUAAAUAUACAAAUGGGAUUUUGUGUAAUACGGAUCGCAUUUCGCCUUCUGUCUGUCCGACGUUGUUUAAAAAUAAAUCCAUUCGGACUUUGGGCGUUUAGUUUAGUUGCGCGGAGUACGGGGCACGCUAUUAAAUAACACUCGGGCUUCAGGCCACGCAGAGCCAGUUCGAAUUGCAGUUAAGCACCCGGGCAGCCGGUUGGAGCACAGUAAGCCCUCGGUACAGGAACAUGUGGAUCCGUGUGCGCCAAAGUGGAUUUACCAACUUGAAAUUAUCGCCGAGCAUGUGGCGCCAUCCAGCGGCGGUGGGCGGCACCUCGGUGGCUAUAACUUAAUGCAAUUAAUAUGCAAAAUCGUGACACUACCACUCACCCUCCACCAACCAUCCUACCUAUCCACGAAACGCCAGCAACUGCGGGAUGGAAAGACGACGUGCACAGCAUGUGCAGAAUGGUGCAUAUGCCAUCCCCUCGCAGCCCUUUUCCUUGUGUCUUUCCACAUUUUCCAUUUCCCAUUUCCCGGCCCGCUUUCCCUCAGCUCUGCGGAGCGCAUUAAGAGCAAAGGCAAAGUGCGCUAAAUUGAUGAGCGUCACGUGCGUUUUGCUCACUCGGUGCCCGCCCCCUUGCAACGGUGUCAUCCAACGAGGGUGGGCGUGGUCGGCGUCAGUGCUGAUCGAGCUAAUGAAUCGGGAGUAGAGCCAUACACCUUAGAUUUUCCCGGAAAAUAAAACUCACCAUUCACCCCAGCUAGGCUCAAAACCAUAGCGAUCGCAUUUU
Molecule: non-coding RNA, 802 nt
Organism: Drosophila melanogaster (fruit fly)
Lineage: Eukaryota; Metazoa; Arthropoda; Insecta; Diptera; Drosophilidae
Source: Ensembl